CCAAUAGCGUAUAUUAAAGUUGUUGCAGUUAAAAAGCUCGUAAUUGAAUUUCGGGAUUAGCAGGUCGGUCGUGCCACUGGUACGUACUGGUCUUGCUGAUUCCUCCCUCUUGACGAGCCGUAAUGCCGUUAAUUUGGUGUUGCGGGGAAUCAGGACUGUUACUUUGAAAAAAUUAGAGUGUUUAAAGCAGGCAUGCGUUUGAAUACAUUAGCAUGGAAUAAUGAAAUAGGACGUUCGAUCUUAUUUUGUUGGUUUCUAGGAUUGACGUAAUGAUUAAUAGGGAUAGUUGGGGGCAUUAGUAUUCAAUUGUCAGAGGUGAAAUUCUUGGAUUUAUUGAAGACUAACUACUGCGAAAGCAUUUACCAAGGAUGUUUUCAUUAAUCAAGAACGAAAGUUAGGGGAUCGAAGACGAUCAGAUACCGUCGUAGUCUUAACCAUAAACUAUGCCGACUAGGGAUCGGAUGAUGUUAAUUUUUUAAUGACUCAUUCGGCGCCUUACG
This 500-nucleotide ribosomal RNA is filed under the name uncultured Glomeromycotina. RNAcentral describes it as "partial small subunit ribosomal RNA". It matches the Rfam family "Eukaryotic small subunit ribosomal RNA", at positions 591 to 1092 of the family's 1831-position model. The record is from RNAcentral. Lineage: Eukaryota; Fungi; Glomeromycota.